GAUGAACGCUGGCGGCGUGCCUAAUACAUGCAAGUCGAGCGAACAGACGAGGAGCUUGCUCCUCUGACGUUAGCGGCGGACGGGUGAGUAACACGUGGAUAACCUACCUAUAAGACUGGGAUAACUUCGGGAAACCGGAGCUAAUACCGGAUAAUAUAUUGAACCGCAUGGUUCAAUAGUGAAAGACGGUUUUGCUGUCACUUAUAGAUGGAUCCGCGCCGCAUUAGCUAGUUGGUAAAGUAACGGCUUACCAAGGCAACGAUGCGUAGCCGACCUGAGAGGGUGAUCAGCCACACUGGAACUGAGACACGGUCCAGACUCCUACGGGAGGCAGCAGUAGGGAAUCUUCCGCAAUGGGCGAAAGCCUGACGGAGCAACGCCGCGUGAGUGAUGAAGGUCUUCGGAUCGUAAAACUCUGUUAUUAGGGAAGAACAAAUGUGUAAGUAACUAUGCACGUCUUGACGGUACCUAAUCAGAAAGCCACGGCUAACUACGUG
RNAcentral lists this ribosomal RNA (497 nucleotides) under uncultured bacterium. Its description in RNAcentral is "partial 16S ribosomal RNA". It matches the Rfam family "Bacterial small subunit ribosomal RNA", at positions 28 to 507 of the family's 1533-position model. The record is from RNAcentral.